Long non-coding RNA from Zeugodacus cucurbitae (melon fly), 2796 nucleotides. RefSeq lists it as uncharacterized. The transcript has 5 exons. The record is from RefSeq and is a predicted model, not a curated record. NCBI's taxonomy places the organism in Eukaryota, Metazoa, Arthropoda, Insecta, Diptera, Tephritidae.
UUGAAACUCGAACAUUUCUGCCUUUUCGAUCGUUACUCGAAAAACGCGAGACCCAUCGCGCGAAUAGUAUUUGGAUUUGACUUAAGCUUCCCUUUGCUAUGCUAUGAUGUUAGCUCACUAAAUUUAAUUUUACGGUCGCUCAACAAAAUUUGGCGUGUUUGUGUUUGUAUUCAGUUAAAGUUAAGAUUAGAAAUAAAAUGUUCUGAAUAAAAUCAAUAAACACGAGUUGUUUGUGAAACUGGAAAUACAUUCUGGGUCUCAGACGACAAAUGCAUGUCACCGAACUUGUUUGACCCAAUUUUAUAAAACAAAAAAUAAAAUAACGUACCGUCACCUACCUGACGUUUUCAAAUUACCAAGUCCAUUACAUAUGGCCGAUUAAAUUUAUUGGCUCACUAACAAGAGAGAACAUUAAUACGUUUGCGACAAAUAUAAGUAUGUGCAUUAUGAACAAAAUUGAAAUACUAAGUGUAAAACAAUUGUAGAUGAAAAUAAUAUUAUAUUUAAUAAAAAGUGCAAUUAGUACUUGUCACUUCAUAUAUACUCGUACAUAUGUAUGUAAGUAUAUGUUAUAAAAUGAUAGAGUUACAUGUUAUAAGAUUUAAAGCAUUUAUAAGAUAAGGUUUUAUAAGAGAAUCGUAUUUUAGCCUGGGAUUUGCUUGGUAUUUUCUACUAAAACUGUUUGUGUUUGCAUUCGGUUAAAGUUAAGAUUAGAAAUAAAAUGUUCUGAAUAAAAUCAAUAAACAAGAGUUGGUUGUGAAACUGGAAAUACAUUCUGGGUCUUAGACGACAAAUGCAUGUCACCGAACUUGUUUGACCCAAUUUUAUAAAACAAAAAAUAAAAUAACGUACCGUCACCUACCUGACGUUUUCAAAUUACCAAGUCCAUUACAUAUGGCCGAUUAAAUUUAUUGGCUCACUAACAAGAGAGAACAUUAAUACGUUUGCGACAAAUAUAAGUAUGUGCAUUAUGAACAAAAUUGAAAUACUAAGUGUAAAACAAUUGUAGAUGAAAAUAAUAUUAUAUUUAAUAAAAAGUGCAAUUAGUACUUGUCAAUUCAUAUAUACUCGUACAUAUGCAUGUAAGUAUAUGUUAUAAAAUGAUAGACUUACAUGUUAUAAGAUUUAAAGCAUUUAUAAGAUAAGGUUUUAUCAAAUUUGCAGUAUGCUACCAGUAAGAGAAUCGUAUUUUAGCUUGGGAUUUGCUUGGCAUUUUCUACUAAAACUGUUUGUGUUUGCAUUCGGUUAAAAUUAAGAUUAGAAAUAAAAUGUUCUGAAAAAAAUCAAUAAACAAGAGUUGUUUGUGAAACUGGAAAUACAUUCUGGGUCUCAGACGACAAAUGCAUGUCACCGAACUUGUUUGACCCAAUUUUAUAAAACAAAAAAUAAAAUAACGUACCGUCACCUACCUGACGUUUUCAAAAAAUCUGACGUUUUCAAAUUACCAAGUCCAUUACAUAUGGCCGAUUAAAUUUAUUGGCUCACUAACAAGAGAGAACAUUAAUACGUUUGCGACAAAUAUAAGUAUGUGCAUUAUGAACAAAAUUGAAAUACUAAGUGUAAAAUAAUUGUAGAUGAAAAUAAUAUUAUAUUUAAUAAAAAGUGCAAUUAGUACUUGUCACUUCAUAUAUACUCGUACAUAUGUAUAAGAAAGCGGCUUGCAAAGUACACGUAUAUACUAAGUAAAUACUAGGAACUUACUUAUAUUUGGCACUAAUAUCCAGCAACAAAUGAACAAAAUUGCGAGACCCAAUUCCAGGAUGUGCCCGCAACUAUUUCGUACAGGUAACAUGUUAUUUACAAAAGUAUGAUAUCAAAUAGAAAAAAUAUAAUUGUAAUUUUCUCUGUUGCAGUGCUACUUUAAAACUAUUUACGUUCCUUUAUAAACUCAAACUGUAACUGCGGCAACGAAAUAUUUUAUUUUCACAUCCGAAUGCAAACUGAAUUGAUAUAUUUAUACGUGCGUGCACAGCAAAGGAAGAGCAAGGAGGUGACGGUGGAAUUGGUGGAGGUUUUUGGACUUAGCAUUGGUGCAAUAUAUAACAACAACGCAGAAAACAAUGGAAAAUAACAUGGUAAAUAUACCAUCCAUGCGUACCAUGCGUAUAUGUGCAUGUAGUGUUAGUGCGUAUUAAGAUGUACAUACAUACAUACAUAUGUAUAUAUGUAUGUACAAGAAUGCAUCUGUUGCAUUGUGUCCAAAAUAAUGGAUUGUUAUUAUUUUGUAAAUAACCUUGCCAGGUAUUUGAUUAGUGAAACUUAAGAUGUAUGUACGUAUGUAUAAGUACGCAUCGGUAUUAUUUACUUUGCACAAAUGGAGGAUUACAAUAGUUACAACUUUUCUUAGGCAUGAUGAACAAGACAACAACAAAUCCCAUCGAACAUUUAGAUUAGCAGUUGCACAACCUCUUUCCGACGAGCUGAACCUUUUUAUGAUGUACAUAUGGGAUAGGAUUGUGUGGAAUUGACAUCAAACAAUAUUGGUUCAUUAGUUUCGUUGGAUCCUUACAGGAUAGUUAUAAGGAAAUCGUUCGCGUUUAGUAUUAAUUUAUUCAUUUGCUAAUUCAUAAUUUAGAUGUAAAAUAUUAUUAAAUUAUACAAAUGAAUGUUCGAAUACUAAUAACAUUCGUAAUAGUAAUGGAAUUUUAUUUGAAUUGUAUAACAACAACUACAAAAAAAUAUUUAAUAAUUAAUACUAAAUUUAUUUGUAAAAUAUGUAAAUUUUGUCAAUAUAUAAAUAUAAAUGUAUAAAAAAUCAAUGUAUAAAUAGCUGCAAAAACGUUUGUAAAAAUGAUA